Molecule: ribosomal RNA, 2175 nt
Filed under: Salmonella enterica
Lineage: Bacteria; Pseudomonadati; Pseudomonadota; Gammaproteobacteria; Enterobacterales; Enterobacteriaceae
Description: bacterial LSU rRNA
Rfam family: Bacterial large subunit ribosomal RNA
Source: RNAcentral
AUAGGGGAGCCGGAGGGAAACCGAGUCUUAAUUGGGCGUUAAGUUGCAGGGUAUAGACCCGAAACCCGGUGAUCUAGCCAUGGGCAGGUUGAAGGUUGGGUAACACUAACUGGAGGACCGAACCGACUAAUGUUGAAAAAUUAGCGGAUGACCUGUGGCUGGGGGUGAAAGGCCAAUCAAACCGGGAGAUAGCUGGUUCUCCCCGAAAGCUAUUUAGGUAGCGCCUCGUGAAUUCAUCUCCGGGGGUAGAGCACUGUUUCGGCUAGGGGGCCAUCCCGGCUUACCAACCCGAUGCAAACUGCGAAUACCGGAGAAUGUUAUCACGGGAGACACACGGCGGGUGCUAACGUCCGUCGUGAAGAGGGAAACAACCCAGACCGCCAGCUAAGGUCCCAAAGUCAUGGUUAAGUGGGAAACGAUGUGGGAAGGCCCAGACAGCCAGGAUGUUGGCUUAGAAGCAGCCAUCAUUUAAAGAAAGCGUAAUAGCUCACUGGUCGAGUCGGCCUGCGCGGAAGAUGUAACGGGGCUAAACCAUGCACCGAAGCUGCGGCAGCGACGCUUAUGCGUUGUUGGGUAGGGGAGCGUUCUGUAAGCCUGCGAAGGUGGCCUGUGAGGGUUGCUGGAGGUAUCAGAAGUGCGAAUGCUGACAUAAGUAACGAUAAAGCGGGUGAAAAGCCCGCUCGCCGGAAGACCAAGGGUUCCUGUCCAACGUUAAUCGGGGCAGGGUGAGUCGACCCCUAAGGCGAGGCCGAAAGGCGUAGUCGAUGGGAAACGGGUUAAUAUUCCCGUACUUGGUGUUACUGCGAAGGGGGGACGGAGAAGGCUAUGUUGGCCGGGCGACGGUUGUCCCGGUUUAAGCGUGUAGGUGUGUGUUCCAGGUAAAUCCGGUUCACUUUAACACUGAGGCGUGACGACGAGGCACUACGGUGCUGAAGCAACAAAUGCCCUGCUUCCAGGAAAAGCCUCUAAGCAUCAGGUAACAUCAAAUCGUACCCCAAACCGACACAGGUGGUCAGGUAGAGAAUACCAAGGCGCUUGAGAGAACUCGGGUGAAGGAACUAGGCAAAAUGGUGCCGUAACUUCGGGAGAAGGCACGCUGACACGUAGGUGAAGUGAUUUACUCAUGGAGCUGAAGUCAGUCGAAGAUACCAGCUGGCUGCAACUGUUUAUUAAAAACACAGCACUGUGCAAACACGAAAGUGGACGUAUACGGUGUGACGCCUGCCCGGUGCCGGAAGGUUAAUUGAUGGGGUCAGCGCAAGCGAAGCUCCUGAUCGAAGCCCCGGUAAACGGCGGCCGUAACUAUAACGGUCCUAAGGUAGCGAAAUUCCUUGUCGGGUAAGUUCCGACCUGCACGAAUGGCGUAAUGAUGGCCAGGCUGUCUCCACCCGAGACUCAGUGAAAUUGAACUCGCUGUGAAGAUGCAGUGUACCCGCGGCAAGACGGAAAGACCCCGUGAACCUUUACUAUAGCUUGACACUGAACAUUGAGCCUUGAUGUGUAGGAUAGGUGGGAGGCUUUGAAGUGUGGACGCCAGUCUGCAUGGAGCCGACCUUGAAAUACCACCCUUUAAUGUUUGAUGUUCUAACGUGGACCCGUGAUCCGGGUUGCGGACAGUGUCUGGUGGGUAGUUUGACUGGGGCGGUCUCCUCCUAAAGAGUAACGGAGGAGCACGAAGGUUGGCUAAUCCUGGUCGGACAUCAGGAGGUUAGUGCAAUGGCAUAAGCCAGCUUGACUGCGAGCGUGACGGCGCGAGCAGGUGCGAAAGCAGGUCAUAGUGAUCCGGUGGUUCUGAAUGGAAGGGCCAUCGCUCAACGGAUAAAAGGUACUCCGGGGAUAACAGGCUGAUACCGCCCAAGAGUUCAUAUCGACGGCGGUGUUUGGCACCUCGAUGUCGGCUCAUCACAUCCUGGGGCUGAAGUAGGUCCCAAGGGUAUGGCUGUUCGCCAUUUAAAGUGGUACGCGAGCUGGGUUUAGAACGUCGUGAGACAGUUCGGUCCCUAUCUGCCGUGGGCGCUGGAGAACUGAGGGGGGCUGCUCCUAGUACGAGAGGACCGGAGUGGACGCAUCACUGGUGUUCGGGUUGUCAUGCCAAUGGCACUGCCCGGUAGCUAAAUGCGGAAGAGAUAAGUGCUGAAAGCAUCUAAGCACGAAACUUGCCCCGAGAUGAGUUCU